UACGGAGGGUCCAAGCGUUAUCCGGAUUUAUUGGGUUUAAAGGGUACGUAGGCGGAACUUUAAGUCAGUAGUGAAAGCCCAUCGCUUAACGAUGGAACUGCUAUUGAUACUGAAGUUCUUGAAUAUAGUUGAAGUAGGCGGAAUACGUCAUGUAGCGGUGAAAUGCAUAGAUAUGACGUGGAACACCAAUUGCGAAGGCAGCUUACUAAGCUAUUAUUGACGCUAAGGUACGAAAGCGUGGGUAGCGAACAGG
This 253-nucleotide ribosomal RNA is filed under the name uncultured bacterium. RNAcentral's name for it is "partial 16S ribosomal RNA". It matches the Rfam family "Bacterial small subunit ribosomal RNA", at positions 524 to 776 of the family's 1533-position model. The record is from RNAcentral.